This 411-nucleotide long non-coding RNA is filed under the name Brassica napus (rape). Its description in RNAcentral is "long non-coding RNA (BNAP_LNC004369)". The record is from RNAcentral. Lineage: Eukaryota; Viridiplantae; Streptophyta; Magnoliopsida; Brassicales; Brassicaceae.
CUUGAGACAUCACCAUGAACAUGUCAAGUGAUUUUUGCUGGGCAGAGAAGGGUCAGAUGAGCCAUCUUGCCAUUAAGUUGGUGAACUUCUUACGCUUUCGAAAAGCAUAAAUAGAACUGAUGAUAUGUCGAUCAAUUUCCCGGAAUGUUGCUGUAGGGGGGACUAAAGCUUGAUUGUGUAGCAUGUUGUUUCUUUGCUUCCAGAUGUUGUAAAACAAUGCUUGAACUACCAUCAUACGCAGGUGUGAUGGCGCAGCAUUAGAAGACGACGAUGUCCACAGCACGAGCUCGGGCCAGUUGGUGAAGACUGGGACCGUGUCUCUGAAUCUGCGGCGAGAUUCAGACCAAAGGACCUCAGCAUACGGACAAGAGAGCAUUAGAUGGUCCCUAGUUUCCGGCUGAGUAGAACAGA